Molecule: long non-coding RNA, 530 nt
Organism: Felis catus (domestic cat)
Lineage: Eukaryota; Metazoa; Chordata; Mammalia; Carnivora; Felidae
Exons: 2
Source: RefSeq, a predicted model, not a curated record
CGCCGCGGGCCGACCAGCCGCACGCGCAGGAACAACACUGGACAAGGAAGCGUUGGAGCGCGUGCACCCCGCCCCCCACAGCCCGCCAGCCAGCCCGCUGUCUCCCUGCCCCACUUCUCCCCGCGACAGCGAUCCGGCAGGGCCGACCGGCUGCCUGCGCGAAGUACGGGCGUGGCUCCGGAGGAAGGAGGGCGGACCUCGCGCCGACUGACACAGAGGCCCCGCCCGUGGACCCACCCUUCCGCGCCCGGAAAUGCGGGCUUGCAGGAGACCGGAGUCUGAGCCCGUACCCUGGCUGGCAACAGACUUCGCUGUCUCAUUUCGGCCCGGGAGUUCCACUUUCAAAGCACUUUCCGGAGGCAUAGAGUCGGCUUGGCCACUGAAGGCCCGGGCUGAGGGCGCUGCGCUGUCACCAUGGAGAGAUCUCAAAUGAUCAAUGCAACUGAAGUAGGAAAAUGGGGGAGAAGAUGGAGAUAGAGCCCAACUAGUUCAUGGUCUCAACUUACUGAAACAAGUCCUUGUAAAAAACA